This 1628-nucleotide ribosomal RNA is filed under the name Filenchus misellus. RNAcentral's name for it is "SSU rRNA". It matches the Rfam family "Eukaryotic small subunit ribosomal RNA", at positions 139 to 1783 of the family's 1831-position model. The record is from RNAcentral. Lineage: Eukaryota; Metazoa; Nematoda; Chromadorea; Rhabditida; Tylenchidae.
AUGGAUAACUGUGGUAAUUCUAGAGCUAAUACAUGCACCAAAGCUCUGCCCCCUCGGGGAAGAGUGCAUUUAUUAGAGCAAAACCAGGCGGCCUCCGGGCCGUUCCUCGUUGACUCAGAAUAACUCUAGCUGAUCGCAUGGUCCUCGUACCGGCGACGUGUCUUUCAAGUGUCUGCCUUAUCAACUUUCGAUGGUAGUGUAUCUGACUACCAUGGUUGUGACGGGUAACGGAGGAUAAGGGUUCAACUCCGGAGAAGGGGCCUGAGAAAUGGCCACUACGUCUAAGGAUGGCAGCAGGCGCGCAAAUUACCCACUCUCGGCAAGAGGAGGUAGUGACGAAAAAUAACGAGACCGUUCUCACAAGAGGCCGGUCAUCGGAAUGGGUACAAUCUAAACCCUUUAACGAGUAUCUAUGAGAGGGCAAGUCUGGUGCCAGCAGCCGCGGUAAUUCCAGCUCUCAAAAUGCAUAGAACCAUUGCUGCGGUUAAAAAGCUCGUAGUUGGAUCUGCGCCGGUGGGCAAGUCCCCUCCGUGUGGGGCGGCACUUGCUCCCGCCGGCUAGUUGACGGAUGUGGCGGCGGGUGGCCGUUCGCGGUGCCCGCUCGCUAGCCGUCGUUUUACUUUGAACAAAUCAGAGUGCUCAGCACAGGCGUCUCGCCUGAAUGUUCGUGCAUGGAAUAAUAGAAGAGGAUUUCGGUCCUAUUUUAUUGGUUUUGAGGACUGAGAUAAUGGUUAACAGAGACAAACGGGGGCAUUCGUAUUGCUGCGUGAGAGGUGAAAUUCUUGGACCGCAGCAAGACGGACAACAGCGAAAGCAUUUGCCAAGAAUGUCUUCAUUAAUCAAGAACGAAAGUCAGAGGUUCGAAGGCGAUCAGAUACCGCCCUAGUUCUGACCGUAAACGAUGCCAACUAGCGAUCCGCCGGCGGAUUCCAAACGCCCUGGUGGGGAGCUUCCCGGAAACGAAAGUCUUCCGGUUCCGGGGGAAGUAUGGUUGCAAAGCUGAAACUUAAAGGAAUUGACGGAAGGGCACCACCAGGAGUGGAGCCUGCGGCUUAAUUUGACUCAACACGGGAAAACUCACCCGGCCCGGACACCGCGAGGAUUGACAGAUUGAUAGCUCUUUCAUGAUUCGGUGGAUGGUGGUGCAUGGCCGUUCUUAGUUCGUGGAGCGAUUUGUCUGGUUUAUUCCGAUAACGAGCGAGACUCUAGCCUACUAACUAGUCCGCAUGUUCGCUUGUUGCAUGCUUGGGACUUCUUAGAGGGAUUUUCGGCGUUUCAGCCGCACGAAACUGAGCAAUAACAGGUCUGUGAUGCCCUUAGAUGUCCGGGGCUGCACGCGCGCUACACUGGCGAAAUCAGCGUGCCUGUCCUCUCGCGAAAGCGACCGGUAAACCGGUGAAAAUUCGCCGUGAUUGGGAUCGGAAAUUGCAAUUAUUUUCCGUGAACGAGGAAUUCCAAGUAAGUGCGAGUCAUCAACUCGCGUUGAUUACGUCCCUGCCCUUUGUACACACCGCCCGUCGCUGCCCGAGACUGAGCCAUUUCGAGAAAUUUGGGGAUUGCCGGCCGUCGAGGUGGCAACACCUCCCGGCCGGUGAAAACCAACUUAAUCGCAGUGGCUUGAAUCGGGC